AUUGAACGCUGGCGGUAGGCUUAACACAUGCAAGUCGAGCGAGAAAGCCCUUCGGGGUGAGUAGAGCGGCGGACGGGUGAGUAACGCGUAGGAAUCUGCCUGGUAGUGGGGGACAACCUGUGGAAACGCAGGCUAAUACCGCAUACGCCCUACGGGGGAAAGCGGGGGAUCUUCGGACCUCGCGCUAUCAGAUGAGCCUGCGUUAGAUUAGCUAGUUGGUGAGGUAAAGGCUCACCAAGGCGACGAUCUAUAGCUGGUCUGAGAGGAUGAUCAGCCACACUGGGACUGAGACACGGCCCAGACUCCUACGGGGAGGCAGCAGUGGGGAAUAUUGCGCAAUGGGGGAAACCCUGACGCAGCCAUACCGCGUGUGUGAAGAAGGCCUUAGGGUUGUAAAGCACUUUCAAUUGGGAGGAAAGGUCCAGGGUGAAUAGCCCUGGGCUGUGACGUUACCUUUAGAAGAAGCACCGGCUAACUCCGUGCCAGCAGCCGCGGUAA
This 498-nucleotide ribosomal RNA is filed under the name uncultured bacterium. RNAcentral describes it as "bacterial SSU rRNA". It matches the Rfam family "Bacterial small subunit ribosomal RNA", at positions 29 to 523 of the family's 1533-position model. The record is from RNAcentral.